UACGUAGGGGGCAAGCGUUGUCCGGAAUUAUUGGGCGUAAAGCGCGUGUAGGCGGUCCGCUAAGUCGGCUGUGAAAGUCCAGGGCUCAACCCUGGGAUGCCGGUCGAUACUGGCGGACUAGAGUCCGGAAGAGGCGAGUGGAAUUCCCGGUGUAGCGGUGAAAUGCGCAGAUAUCGGGAGGAACACCAAUGGCGAAGGCAGCUCGCUGGGACGGACCUGACGCUGAGACGGCGAAGGCGUGGGGAGCGAACGGG
Molecule: ribosomal RNA, 254 nt
Filed under: uncultured bacterium
Lineage: Bacteria
Description: partial 16S ribosomal RNA
Rfam family: Bacterial small subunit ribosomal RNA
Source: RNAcentral